Non-coding RNA from Obelidium mucronatum, 73 nucleotides. The record is from the annotation of a GenBank genome assembly. NCBI's taxonomy places the organism in Eukaryota, Fungi, Chytridiomycota, Chytridiomycetes, Chytridiales, Chytriomycetaceae.
GGUUCCUUGGUGUAGUGGUUAUCACAUCUCCUUUACACGGAGAAGGCCGCCAGUUCAAACCUGGCAGGAAUCA